This 397-nucleotide ribosomal RNA is filed under the name uncultured bacterium. Its description in RNAcentral is "partial 16S ribosomal RNA". It matches the Rfam family "Bacterial small subunit ribosomal RNA", at positions 523 to 918 of the family's 1533-position model. The record is from RNAcentral.
AUACGUAGGGGGCGAGCGUUGUCCGGAAUGAUUGGGCGUAAAGGGCGCGUAGGCGGCGCGGUAAGUCUGGAGUGAAAGUCCUGCUUUCAAGGUGGGAAUUGCUUUGGAUACUGCCGCGCUUGAGUGCAGGAGAGGUUAUCGGAAUUCCCGGUGUAGCGGUGAAAUGCGUAGAGAUCGGGAGGAACACCAGUGGCGAAGGCGGGUAACCGGACUGCAACUGACGCUGAGGCGCGAAAGUGUGGGGAGCAAACAGGAUUAGAUACCCUGGUAGUCCACACUGUAAACGAUGAAUGCUAGGUGUAGGGGGUAUCGACCCCUUCUGUGCCGCAGUCAACACAAUAAGCAUUCCGCCUGGGGAGUACGGCCGCAAGGUUGAAACUCAAAGGAAUUGACGGGG